Molecule: ribosomal RNA, 211 nt
Filed under: uncultured bacterium
Lineage: Bacteria
Description: partial 16S ribosomal RNA
Rfam family: Bacterial small subunit ribosomal RNA
Source: RNAcentral
AGUUCGGAUUGCAGGCUGCAACCCGCCUGCAUGAAGUUGGAAUCGCUAGUAAUCGCGGAUCAGCAUGCCGCGGUGAAUACGUUCCCGGGCCUUGUACACACCGCCCGUCACACCAUGAGAGUCGGGAACACCCGAAGUCCGUAGCCUAACCGCGAAGGGGGCGCGGCCGAAGGUGGGUUCGAUAAUUGGGGUGAAGUCGUAACAAGGUAGC